UUUCAUAUAUGUCUGUUACAGAUUAUGAAAAAUAUAAAAUGGAACAAAAGACACAGAGUGCUACAGUUGCUAGCCUAAAGACAGUUUAGUCAGCCCUGGCCUUAUCUCAUAGGGACCUCAAGGCCUCACAUGGGAAUAUACUGAAGCAAUAGAAUAAAAGGGAUAAAUUCUUCAACAAACUAUGGAAAGGGGUUAAGGUCUUAUGGAAUAGCCUAAAUCCUAAUGCUAAUCUCCUAUCUUCCAAGCUUGAUAGUUAUGAUGAGGCACCUGCUGAGUGGUCAAAUAUUGAGGAUGGUGAUGAAGAUUUAGAGUCAACAGAGGUGAGCAACUCAUGAUACAAGAGAGACCCUUCUUUCUUUCACUUGAUUGCACUUGUUGUGAGAAAACUACAUUCUUAUAGUUGAGGGUGCG
Molecule: long non-coding RNA, 411 nt
Filed under: Capsicum annuum
Lineage: Eukaryota; Viridiplantae; Streptophyta; Magnoliopsida; Solanales; Solanaceae
Description: long non-coding RNA (CANN_LNC022445)
Source: RNAcentral